GAUGAACGCUGGCGGCGUGCCUAAUACAUGCAAGUCGAGCGAACAGACGAGGAGCUUGCGCCUCUGACGUUAGCGGCGGACGGGUGAGUAACACGUGGAUAACCUACCUAUAAGACUGGGAUAACUUCGGGAAACCGGAGCUAAUACCGGAUAAUAUAUUGAACCGCAUGGUUCAAUAGUGAAUGACGGUUUUGCUGUCACUUAUAGAUGGAUCCGCGCCGCAUUAGCUAGUUGGUAAGGUAACGGCUUACCAAGGCGACGAUGCGUAGCCGACCUGAGAGGGUGAUCGGCCACACUGGAACUGAGACACGGUCCAGACUCCUACGGGAGGCAGCAGUAGGGAAUCUUCCGCAAUGGGCGAAAGCCUGACGGAGCAACGCCGCGUGAGUGAUGAAGGUCUUCGGAUCGUAAAACUCUGUUAUUAGGGAAGAACAAAUGUGUAAGUAACUAUGCACGUCUUGACGGUACCUAAUCAGAAAGCCACGGCUAACUACGUG
RNAcentral lists this ribosomal RNA (497 nucleotides) under uncultured bacterium. RNAcentral describes it as "partial 16S ribosomal RNA". It matches the Rfam family "Bacterial small subunit ribosomal RNA", at positions 28 to 507 of the family's 1533-position model. The record is from RNAcentral.